RNAcentral lists this ribosomal RNA (109 nucleotides) under Colobus angolensis palliatus. The record is from RNAcentral. Lineage: Eukaryota; Metazoa; Chordata; Mammalia; Primates; Cercopithecidae.
GUAUACGGUCAUGCCACUCUGAAUGCACCUGAUCUUAGCAGCUAAGCAGGUUCAGGCCAGGUUAGCACAUGGUUUGUAGAAUUCCUGAGAAUACUGGUUGCUAUAGGCU